AAGAUAACAAUUUUUAGACCUUCUAAGUCAUAAACAGCUUUUAAAAAGGCUUUAUCUUU
RNAcentral lists this transfer RNA (59 nucleotides) under Scirtothrips dorsalis. RNAcentral describes it as "tRNA-Ser". The record is from RNAcentral. Lineage: Eukaryota; Metazoa; Arthropoda; Insecta; Thysanoptera; Thripidae.